Molecule: non-coding RNA, 382 nt
Organism: Camellia sinensis
Lineage: Eukaryota; Viridiplantae; Streptophyta; Magnoliopsida; Ericales; Theaceae
Source: RefSeq, a predicted model, not a curated record
UGUUUUUGACGCUUUUGCUGAUCAGGAGAUUUACUUUUCAGGGAGCUGGCUUGGUAGUUCAUGACGCAGGGGCUUAUUGCAUGAGCAUGGCAUCAACUUACAAUCUCAAGAUCGCCCACCUGAGUACUGGGUUGAAGAAGAUGGAUCCAUGGCCAAGAUUCGUCAUGCAGAGACAUUUGAAGACCAUAUAAGAUACUUUGAGGGUCUUUAGUACUUGUAGAAGAGAGAGGCUUGUUAACAUUAGCUUGCUUAGUAUUUUGUAUGCCUUAUUUGAUUAAGAGUAAUGAUUGAUAUUAUGAACUAGUUAUAUUAAUCAAACUGUUACUAUUGCUCAUGAGAAUAAAGGCCUAACCACAGAGGUUACCACUAGGUGGUUGCUGCA